Molecule: ribosomal RNA, 161 nt
Filed under: Tropaeolum smithii
Lineage: Eukaryota; Viridiplantae; Streptophyta; Magnoliopsida; Brassicales; Tropaeolaceae
Description: 5.8S ribosomal RNA
Rfam family: 5.8S ribosomal RNA
About the family: 5.8S ribosomal RNA (5.8S rRNA) is a component of the large subunit of the eukaryotic ribosome. It is transcribed by RNA polymerase I as part of the 45S precursor that also contains 18S and 28S rRNA. Functionally, it is thought that 5.8S rRNA may be involved in ribosome translocation.
Source: RNAcentral
AACGACUCUCGGCAACGGAUAUCUCGGCUCUCGCAUCGAUGAAGAACGUAGCGAAAUGCGAUACUUGGUGUGAAUUGCAGAAUCCCGUGAACCAUCGAGUUUUUGAACGCAAGUUGCGCCCCAAGCCGCCAGGUAAGGGCACGUCUGCCUGGGUGUCACGC